CACGUAGGCGGCCCUGUAAGUGUGGAGUGAAAUCCCACGGCUCAACCGUGGAACUGCUUCGCAUACUGCAGGUGCUAGAGGACGGUAGGGGAGAGCGGAACUCUUGGUGGAGCGGUGAAAUGCGUAGAUAUCAAGAGGAACACCAGUGGCGAAGGCGGCUCUCUGGUCCGUUUCUGACGCUGAGGUGCGAAAGCCAGGGUAGCGAACG
RNAcentral lists this ribosomal RNA (208 nucleotides) under uncultured bacterium. RNAcentral describes it as "partial 16S ribosomal RNA". It matches the Rfam family "Bacterial small subunit ribosomal RNA", at positions 568 to 774 of the family's 1533-position model. The record is from RNAcentral.